UACGUAGGGACCAAGCGUUGUUCGGAUUUACUGGGCGUAAAGCGCACGUAGGCGGCUUUUUAAGUCAGGGGUGAAAUCCUGGAGCUCAACUCCAGAACUGCCUUUGAUACUGGGAAGCUUGAGUCCGGGAGAGGUGAGUGGAACUCCGAGUGUAGAGGUGAAAUUCGUAGAUAUUCGGAAGAACACCAGUGGCGAAGGCGGCUCACUGGCCCGGUACUGACGCUGAGGUGCGAAAGCGUGGGGAGCAAACAGG
This 253-nucleotide ribosomal RNA is filed under the name uncultured bacterium. RNAcentral describes it as "partial 16S ribosomal RNA". It matches the Rfam family "Bacterial small subunit ribosomal RNA", at positions 524 to 776 of the family's 1533-position model. The record is from RNAcentral.